AGUGGAGCGAUAGCCGACAGGAGCUGCCGCCGAUCCGGACCUGUCCUCGCCGCCAUCUCGUCUCCGCGCGACGCCCUCGCCUCGCGCAGGCAGGCAUGCCGGAAGGUUAGUAGCCAGAGCCAUGGGGGCCUCCUCGCUGUCUCCUUCCUGCAUCGUGAUGGGGAGGGCGCCGGAUCUGAGCUGAAGCAGGACGCCCCUCCUCUCAACGCCGAUGACGACCAAUGGCAUCGCGACUCUGGCAACCGGCGCUACAGGACACUAAGCAGGGAAGAUGAAGUUGCCCCGCCGCCGCCGUCCAUUCGGGGCUCUGCGCCCUUAGGGGAGGACCUCCUCCUUGUGAAGGCCGUGGUGGGUGGUGGAGUCUCACCGAGGCCAGCCUACGCGCUGCAGCUUCCUCAAUCCUUCCCGGAUGUUCGGCAACUUCAGAAGAUUUUUCUUGCUUACAACACCUUCAUCCAUUCAUCCAUGGUUUUGGUGAUAUCAAGAAAUCAGUCUCAUUUUAUUGAAAACGAUUGAAGCCUCAUCUGAACCAGAACAUGCCAAAAUGUGAGAUCACUUUACAUUUUGUUAUCAUAGUGGAGCACUCAAGCUGUCUUUGGGAUGAUUUAAGCUGAGUAUGUUGGAAGUCUGCAGUCUAUGGGUGUUUGUAAGCUGUGAUGUGAUGGGAAACUAUUUGUUGUAAGCUGCCUUUUGUUGUAUAUGUGUGAAUAGUGUUGUGAGCAAAAUUUAUGUAAAUUGAUUUUGUAAGUGAAUA
Molecule: long non-coding RNA, 754 nt
Filed under: Oryza sativa tropical japonica subgroup
Lineage: Eukaryota; Viridiplantae; Streptophyta; Magnoliopsida; Poales; Poaceae
Description: lncRNA OsKeNa_02g0011040
Source: RNAcentral